CUCCUGGAUGAUGAAGAGAUGGUUUCGUAUAUCCUCACUGGUCUUGAUAUUGAUUAUAAUCCAAUUGUGUCAGCUAUGGUUGCUCGUGUUGAACCUAUUACAGGUAAUGAGAUUUAUGCUCAACUUCUAAGCUUCGAGA
This is a small nucleolar RNA of Phragmites australis (common reed), 139 nucleotides long. RefSeq annotates it as small nucleolar RNA Z247. The record is from RefSeq and is a predicted model, not a curated record. The transcript has a single exon. NCBI's taxonomy places the organism in Eukaryota, Viridiplantae, Streptophyta, Magnoliopsida, Poales, Poaceae.